This 425-nucleotide ribosomal RNA is filed under the name uncultured bacterium. RNAcentral describes it as "bacterial SSU rRNA". It matches the Rfam family "Bacterial small subunit ribosomal RNA", at positions 354 to 796 of the family's 1533-position model. The record is from RNAcentral.
GUGGGGAAUAUUGGGCAAUGGGCGCAAGCCUGACCCAGCAAUGCCGCGUGGGUGAAGAAGGUCUUCGGAUUGUAAAGCCCUUUCGGCGGGGACGAUGAUGACGGUACCCGCAGAAGAAGCCCCGGCUAACUUCGUGCCAGCAGCCGCGGUAAUACGAAGGGGGCUAGCGUUGCUCGGAAUUACUGGGCGUAAAGGGCGCGUAGGUGGCCUUGUUAGUCAGGCGUGAAAUUCCUGGGCUCAACCUGGGGGCUGCGCUUGAUACGGCAGGGCUUGAGGGUGGAAGAGGCUCGUGGAAUUCCCAGUGUAGAGGUGAAAUUCGUAGAUAUUGGGAAGAACACCGGUGGCGAAGGCGGCGAGCUGGUCCAUACCUGACACUGAGGCGCGACAGCGUGGGGAGCAAACAGGAUUAGAAACCCUAGUAGUCC